UUAAAUUGAAGAGUUUGAUCAUGGCUCAGAUUGAACGCUGGCGGCAGGCCUAACACAUGCAAGUCGAACGGUAACAGGAAGCAGCUUGCUGCUUCGCUGACGAGUGGCGGACGGGUGAGUAAUGUCUGGGAAACUGCCUGAUGGAGGGGGAUAACUACUGGAAACGGUGGCUAAUACCGCAUAACGUCGCAAGACCAAAGAGGGGGACCUUCGGGCCUCUUGCCAUCAGAUGUGCCCAGAUGGGAUUAGCUUGUUGGUGAGGUAACGGCUCACCAAGGCGACGAUCCCUAGCUGGUCUGAGAGGAUGACCAGCCACACUGGAACUGAGACACGGUCCAGACUCCUACGGGAGGCAGCAGUGGGGAAUAUUGCACAAUGGGCGCAAGCCUGAUGCAGCCAUGCCGCGUGUAUGAAGAAGGCCUUCGGGUUGUAAAGUACUUUCAGCGGGGAGGAAGGUGUUGUGGUUAAUAACCGCAGCAAUUGACGUUACCCGCAGAAGAAGCACCGGCUAACUCCGUGCCAGCAGCCGCGGUAAUACGGAGGGUGCAAGCGUUAAUCGGAAUUACUGGGCGUAAAGCGCACGCAGGCGGUCUGUCAAGUCGGAUGUGAAAUCCCCGGGCUCAACCUGGGAACUGCAUUCGAAACUGGCAGGCUUGAGUCUUGUAGAGGGGGGUAGAAUUCCAGGUGUAGCGGUGAAAUGCGUAGAGAUCUGGAGGAAUACCGGUGGCGAAGGCGGCCCCCUGGACAAAGACUGACGCUCAGGUGCGAAAGCGUGGGGAGCAAACAGGAUUAGAUACCCUGGUAGUCCACGCCGUAAACGAUGUCUACUUGGAGGUUGUGCCCUUGAGGCGUGGCUUCCGGAGCUAACGCGUUAAGUAGACCGCCUGGGGAGUACGGCCGCAAGGUUAAAACUCAAAUGAAUUGACGGGGGCCCGCACAAGCGGUGGAGCAUGUGGUUUAAUUCGAUGCAACGCGAAGAACCUUACCUGGUCUUGACAUCCACAGAACUUUCCAGAGAUGGAUUGGUGCCUUCGGGAACUGUGAGACAGGUGCUGCAUGGCUGUCGUCAGCUCGUGUUGUGAAAUGUUGGGUUAAGUCCCGCAACGAGCGCAACCCUUAUCCUUUGUUGCCAGCGAUUAGGUCGGGAACUCAAAGGAGACUGCCAGUGAUAAACUGGAGGAAGGUGGGGAUGACGUCAAGUCAUCAUGGCCCUUACGACCAGGGCUACACACGUGCUACAAUGGCGCAUACAAAGAGAAGCGACCUCGCGAGAGCAAGCGGACCUCAUAAAGUGCGUCGUAGUCCGGAUUGGAGUCUGCAACUCGACUCCAUGAAGUCGGAAUCGCUAGUAAUCGUGGAUCAGAAUGCCACGGUGAAUACGUUCCCGGGCCUUGUACACACCGCCCGUCACACCAUGGGAGUGGGUUGCAAAAGAAGUAGGUAGCUUAACCUUCGGGAGGGCGCUUACCACUUUGUGAUUCAUGACUGGGGUGAAGUCGUAACAAGGUAACCGUAGGGGAACCUGCGGUUGGAUCACCUCCUUACCUUAAAGAAG
RNAcentral lists this ribosomal RNA (1555 nucleotides) under Salmonella enterica subsp. enterica serovar Typhimurium. RNAcentral describes it as "bacterial SSU rRNA". It matches the Rfam family "Bacterial small subunit ribosomal RNA". The record is from RNAcentral. Lineage: Bacteria; Pseudomonadati; Pseudomonadota; Gammaproteobacteria; Enterobacterales; Enterobacteriaceae.